GAUGAACGCUGGCGGCGUGCCUAAUACAUGCAAGUCGAGCGAACAGACGAGGAGCUUGCUCCUCUGACGUUAGCGGCGGACGGGUGAGUAACACGUGGAUAACCUACCUAUAAGACUGGGAUAACUUCGGGAAACCGGAGCUAAUACCGGAUAAUAUAUUGAACCGCAUGGUUCAAUAGUGAAAGACGGUUUUGCUGUCACUUAUAGAUGGAUCCGCGCCGCAUUAGCUAGUUGGUAAGGUAACGGCUUACCAAGACAACGAUGCGUAGCCGACCUGAGAGGGUGAUCGGCCACACUGGAACUGAGACACGGUCCAGACUCCUACGGGAGGCAGCAGUAGGGAAUCUUCCACAAUGGGCGAAAGCCUGACGGAGCAACGCCGCGUGAGUGAUGAAGGUCUUCGGAUCGUAAAACUCUGUUAUUAGGGAAGAACAAAUGUGUAAGUAACUAUGCACGUCUUGACGGUACCUAAUCAGAAAGCCACGGCUAACUACGUG
Molecule: ribosomal RNA, 497 nt
Filed under: uncultured bacterium
Lineage: Bacteria
Description: partial 16S ribosomal RNA
Rfam family: Bacterial small subunit ribosomal RNA
Source: RNAcentral